UGCAGUCGAACGGCAGCACGGAGCUUGCUCUGGUGGCGAGUGGCGAACGGGUGAGCAAAAUAUCGGAACGUACCCUGGAGUGGGGGAUAACGUAGCGAAAGUUACGCUAAUACCGCAUACGAUCUACGGAUGAAAGUGGGGGAUCGCAAGACCUCAUGCUCGUGGAGCGGCCGAUAUCUGAUUAGCUAGUUGGUAGGGUAAAAGCCUACCAAGGCAUCGAUCAGUAGCUGGUCUGAGAGGACGACCAGCCACACUGGAACUGAGACACGGUCCAGACUCCUACGGGAGGCAGCAGUGGGGAAUUUUGGACAAUGGGCGAAAGCCUGAUCCAGCAAUGCCGCGUGAGUGAAGAAGGCCUUCGGGUUGUAAAGCUCUUUUGUCAGGGAAGAAACGGUGAGGGCUAAUAUCCCUUGCUAAUGACGGUACCUGAAGAAUAAGCACCGGCUAACUACGUGCCAGCAGCCGCGGUAAUACGUAGGGUGCAAGCGUUAAUCGGAAUUACUGGGCGUAAAGCGUGCGCAGGCGGUUUUGUAAGUCUGAUGUGAAAUCCCCGGGCUCAACCUGGGAAUUGCAUUGGAGACUGCAAGGCUAGAAUCUGGCAGAGGGGGGUAGAAUUCCACGUGUAGCAGUGAAAUGCGUAGAUAUGUGGAGGAACACCGAUGGCGAAGGCAGCCCCCUGGGUCAAGAUUGACGCUCAUGCACGAAAGCGUGGGGAGCAAACAGGAUUAGAUACCCUGGUAGUCCACGCCCUAAACGAUGUCUACUAGUUGUCGGGUCUUAAUUGACUUGGUAACGCAGCUAACGCGUGAAGUAGACCGCCUGGGGAGUACGGUCGCAAGAUUAAAACUCAAAGGAAUUGACGGGGACCCGCACAAGCGGUGGAUGAUGUGGAUUAAUUCGAUGCAACGCGAAAAACCUUACCUACCCUUGACAUGGCUGGGAAUCCCUUGAGAGAUCGGGAGUGCUCGAAAGAGAACCCAGUACACAGUGCUGCAUGGCCUGUCGUCAGCUCGUGUCG
This 1018-nucleotide ribosomal RNA is filed under the name Janthinobacterium sp. AMF1010. RNAcentral describes it as "bacterial SSU rRNA". It matches the Rfam family "Bacterial small subunit ribosomal RNA", at positions 56 to 1067 of the family's 1533-position model. The record is from RNAcentral. Lineage: Bacteria; Pseudomonadati; Pseudomonadota; Betaproteobacteria; Burkholderiales; Oxalobacteraceae.